AAGUCGUAACAAGGUAACCGUAGGUGAACCUGCGGUUGGAUCAUUAGUGGUUUUUACGUAGCGCUGUUGUAGUGUUUCUGUGGGGUGUUUGGUGUUUGCUUAGGGUUUGUUGUUGGUUGUUUGUCUGUUUUUGUGCGAUGUCUUGUGCAUUGUCUUGUGCGAUGUCUUGUGCAUUGCCUUGUGCAUUGCCUUGUGCGGUGCCUGGCAGUACAAACGAUCGACGGCAACACUCGGACCAGACCCAAGCCCUUGCAGACAAUAGACGUCUUUGCUUGCUUUGAUGAAACCAAAUCAAAAACAACUUUUGACAACGGAUCUCUUGGCUCUC
This 328-nucleotide unclassified non-coding RNA is filed under the name fungal sp. RNAcentral's name for it is "partial internal transcribed spacer region". The stretch from base 1 to 46 matches the Rfam family "Eukaryotic small subunit ribosomal RNA", at positions 1786 to 1831 of the family's 1831-position model. The record is from RNAcentral. Lineage: Eukaryota; Fungi.